Long non-coding RNA from Homo sapiens (human), 844 nucleotides. NCBI's taxonomy places the organism in Eukaryota, Metazoa, Chordata, Mammalia, Primates, Hominidae. The record is from Ensembl.
AGUUUGGGUUUUAGCAACUGAUUGGAAAGUGAUGCCAUUCACAUUGGACACGUUUAAAUUUGAGACGCUAGUGGAACAACCAUGUAUAGACACCUACUCGGCAAUCCUGCAUAUGAUCUCAACAUCAGAAGAGAGAUGUGGGCUGAUGACACAGAACUGAGAAUAGCCAGCGUUGCCACUGGGAGUAACCAUCACAUAUGUGGCAAAAAAGGCCAUUGGCGCAGAUAUAAUCACCCAGGCGGGAUGUGUAAAAUGGAAAAAGAAGGCAACCUAGAAGCAGGAUUCAACGUAUCAGAUACAGUAAUGAAGACAAUAAGAAAUUGGAUUGAUCCAGGUCUGGAGUUUUGCCACAGAGUGAAAUGGAACAACAAUAUGCAGGAGAAGUGAGGAUACUGAAUUCUACUUGAAAAUUAUACAGAAACAAUUUCUUAGAAUGCUCACAAAAGACCUGAAAACAUGGGGAGGAAGCAGGGCAUUUACAGCUUAUAACUCAUGCAAAACAACAUGCUGCAAUGUUCUGAUGAAAUGCUCCUCUACAGUCGAGGCUCCCAGAAGGCAGAGAGCAUAUUCAUUAACUCAUUCUGCUCAACACUUAGCUCAUGUCCAUGGAGAGAUGUUGAAUAUGAGCUCCUAUUAAAAAGAGGGAAUACAAUCAAUCAUUUGAGAAUGUCCAAAAAGAACUUUUCCUUUCCAUCGAGCCUUACAAAUUAUUCUAAGAUUGUUUCUGUAAAUACCAUGUAAUUGGGAGAGAUACACAGGGAGCGUCAAUUGUGUCUGUAAUGUUUUACUGCUUAUGAUAAAAAGAUCUGAAACUAAUGUGACAAAAUACUAAGAUUUCACAGAA